AAAUUGAAGAGUUUGAUCAUGGCUCAGAUUGAACGCUGGCGGCAGGCCUAACACAUGCAAGUCGAACGGUAACAGGAAGCAGCUUGCUGCUUUGCUGACGAGUGGCGGACGGGUGAGUAAUGUCUGGGAAACUGCCCGAUGGAGGGGGAUAACUACUGGAAACGGUAGCUAAUACCGCAUAACGUCGCAAGACCAAAGAGGGGGACCUUAGGGCCUCUUGCCAUCGGAUGUGCCCAGAUGGGAUUAGCUAGUAGGUGGGGUAAUGGCUCACCUAGGCGACGAUCCCUAGCUGGUCUGAGAGGAUGACCAGCCACACUGGAACUGAGACACGGUCCAGACUCCUACGGGAGGCAGCAGUGGGGAAUAUUGCACAAUGGGCGCAAGCCUGAUGCAGCCAUGCCGCGUGUAUGAAGAAGGCCUUCGGGUUGUAAAGUACUUUCAGCGGGGAGGAAGGGAGUAAAGUUAAUACCUUUGCUCAUUGACGUUACCCGCAGAAGAAGCACCGGCUAACUCCGUGCCAGCAGCCGCGGUAAUACGGAGGGUGCAAGCGUUAAUCGGAAUUACUGGGCGUAAAGCGCACGCAGGCGGUUUGUUAAGUCAGAUGUGAAAUCCCCGGGCUCAACCUGGGAACUGCAUCUGAUACUGGCAAGCUUGAGUCUCGUAGAGGGGGGUAGAAUUCCAGGUGUAGCGGUGAAAUGCGUAGAGAUCUGGAGGAAUACCGGUGGCGAAGGCGGCCCCCUGGACGAAGACUGACGCUCAGGUGCGAAAGCGUGGGGAGCAAACAGGAUUAGAUACCCUGGUAGUCCACGCCGUAAACGAUGUCGACUUGGAGGUUGUGCCCUUGAGGCGUGGCUUCCGGAGCUAACGCGUUAAGUCGACCGCCUGGGGAGUACGGCCGCAAGGUUAAAACUCAAAUGAAUUGACGGGGGCCCGCACAAGCGGUGGAGCAUGUGGUUUAAUUCGAUGCAACGCGAAGAACCUUACCUGGUCUUGACAUCCACGGAAGUUUUCAGAGAUGAGAAUGUGCCUUCGGGAACCGUGAGACAGGUGCUGCAUGGCUGUCGUCAGCUCGUGUUGUGAAAUGUUGGGUUAAGUCCCGCAACGAGCGCAACCCUUAUCCUUUGUUGCCAGCGGUCCGGCCGGGAACUCAAAGGAGACUGCCAGUGAUAAACUGGAGGAAGGUGGGGAUGACGUCAAGUCAUCAUGGCCCUUACGACCAGGGCUACACACGUGCUACAAUGGCGCAUACAAAGAGAAGCGACCUCGCGAGAGCAAGCGGACCUCAUAAAGUGCGUCGUAGUCCGGAUUGGAGUCUGCAACUCGACUCCAUGAAGUCGGAAUCGCUAGUAAUCGUGGAUCAGAAUGCCACGGUGAAUACGUUCCCGGGCCUUGUACACACCGCCCGUCACACCAUGGGAGUGGGUUGCAAAAGAAGUAGGUAGCUUAACCUUCGGGAGGGCGCUUACCACUUUGUGAUUCAUGACUGGGGUGAAGUCGUAACAAGGUAACCGUAGGGGAACCUGCGGUUGGAUCACCUCCUUA
RNAcentral lists this ribosomal RNA (1542 nucleotides) under Escherichia coli. Its description in RNAcentral is "bacterial SSU rRNA". It matches the Rfam family "Bacterial small subunit ribosomal RNA". RNAcentral also lists the same sequence under 4 other names. The record is from RNAcentral. Lineage: Bacteria; Pseudomonadati; Pseudomonadota; Gammaproteobacteria; Enterobacterales; Enterobacteriaceae.